GACGAACGCUGGCGGCGUGCCUAAUACAUGCAAGUAGAACGCUGAAGGAGGAGCUUGCUCCUCUGGAUGAGUUGCGAACGGGUGAGUAACGCGUAGGUAACCUGCCUGGUAGCGGGGGAUAACUCUUGGAAACGAUAGCUAAUACCGCAUAAUAGUAGAUGUUGCAUGACAUUUGCUUAAAAGGUGCAAUUUCAUCACUACCAGAUGGACCUGCGUUGUAUUAGCUAGUUGGUGGGGUAACGGCUCACCAAGGCGACGAUACAUAGCCGACCUGAGAGGGGGAUCGGCCCAACUGGGACUGAGACACGGGCCAGGCUCCUACGGGAGGCAGCAGUAGGGAAUCUUCGGCAAGGGACGGAAGGCUGACCGAGCAACGCCGCGUGAGGGAAGAAGGUUGUCGGAUCGGAAAGAUCCGUUGUAAGAGAAGAACGAGAGUGAGAGUGGAAAGUUCACACUGUGACGGUAUCUAACCAGAAAGGGACGGCUAACUACGUG
Molecule: ribosomal RNA, 495 nt
Filed under: uncultured bacterium
Lineage: Bacteria
Description: partial 16S ribosomal RNA
Rfam family: Bacterial small subunit ribosomal RNA
Source: RNAcentral